Callithrix jacchus (white-tufted-ear marmoset) is the source of this 642-nucleotide long non-coding RNA. NCBI's taxonomy places the organism in Eukaryota, Metazoa, Chordata, Mammalia, Primates, Cebidae. The record is from Ensembl.
UCAGUACUGAGCUGUGGUAUGAAGCUAUUCCUACUCAAUUCUCUCCGCUGCCUCUCCUUUCACAGGUGUCAGAUAUGCGUCACUACUUGCAAGCUCUUCCCACCUAUUUCUGUUCUUUCUUCGUCUGGACUUCAUGGGAGAUAGAUCUACUGGUUCUCUUGAACAAGUCUAAUGCCAUCUUUGCAUCAACAUCUCAGAGGACCUAAACUGGCCCAUGUGGUAAAUACGCCUUCCCAAGUGAAAAGUGUGCCAAAUAAUAUCAUAAUGAGCAUACUCAGUGUCUGAAAUCAGCCUGCAGAGGUUGGAAAGAGAAAGGCUGAAAAGAAACAAAGAUUAACACAAAGACUAAAACCUCUUAGUCCCUCAAGCAAUGUUUAUAUUCUUGGGAACAUGUGGGAAAAUGGAUAAGUGGCGUCCUUGGAGUUUGCUUUUAAAACUCACUGGAUGUUUCCAAGUGCAAUCACAAAACUUAAUGGAGAUCAGAGGGCCCCUUUACUUGGAAGAAGAAUUUGAACCCCCUUGGUUUGGAAGAGCCAAAAGCUGGAAACAAUCCAAGUGUCUUUCAACGGAUGAAUGAAUAAACAAAAUGUCAUAUAAACACACAGUGGAAUAUUAUUCAGCCAUGAAAAGUGACCUGAAGGA